CCCAAGAGUUCAUAUCGACGGCGGUGUUUGGCACCUCGAUGUCGGCUCAUCGCAUCCUGGGGCUGAAGGCGGUCCCAAGGGUUAGGCUGUUCGCCUAUUAAAGCGGUACGCGAGCUGGGUUCAGACCGGCGUGAGCCAGGUCGGUCCCUAUCUGCUGUGGGCGUUGCAAACUUGAGAGGAGUCAACUUUAGUACGAGAGGAUUAGGUUGGACUGACCCCUGGUGAUCCUGUUGGGCUGCUAAGCCCAUCGCAGGGUAGCUACGUCGGGCAGGGAUAACAGCUGAAAGCAUCUAAGCAGGAAGCCCCCCUCAAGAUCAGGUUUGCUUGUCUUGUACGUGAGACCCCUGGGAGACUACCAGGUUGAUAGGCCGCAGGUGUAAGGGUUGAGAAGCCCUCAGCUGAGCGGUACUAACGGUCGAAGGUU
Molecule: ribosomal RNA, 424 nt
Filed under: Chloroparvula japonica
Lineage: Eukaryota; Viridiplantae; Chlorophyta; Chloropicophyceae; Chloropicales; Chloropicaceae
Description: partial Bacterial large subunit ribosomal RNA
Rfam family: Bacterial large subunit ribosomal RNA
Source: RNAcentral